GGAUUGGAUCUUGGGUCUAGGUUACCAUAAAAACAUGUGCUAUAGCUCACUUGUGGCAAAAAUGUCGUAACGGCCUCUCCGAUCUAAAAUGUAGGUGGCAGGUCGGAUGAGGCCAUAAUCAGCCUUAGCAGUCUCAGUGGCCAAAUCAUGGGUGGCGGACGGGAGGCAUGAAAUCGUCGUUUGACGAUGAAAACAUGUGUCACGGGAGGCCAAAAAUAGCCUUACCGGCCUCCGGGGACCAAAACGUGUACUAUGGUUUGGACACUAAAAUUCUACUAUGUCAGCAAAGUUGAUAAGGUUGGGAGACUCAAAUUUCAUUUUACCAUGGUUUCAACACUAAAAUCCUAUAGUGUCGAUGUUUAGGUUUAGGGAUAGGAUUUAGGGUCUAGGUUUCCAUAAAAUCGUGUGCUAUAGCUCACGGGUGGCAAAAAAAUGCCAUAACGGCCUCCCCGGUCUAAAACGAAGGUGGCAGGUCGGAUACAUAAAAUUGGCUGUUUGGCCACGGAAAUGUGUGAUAUAGCUCGCGGGAGGCCAAGAACCGCUUUAAGGUGCUCCGGGGAGAAAAACACGUGUGGAGGAACACGGGCAUAAACACUACUACAAAUCAUGUUAUAUGAGACGGUUAAUUUUCAGUUAUUAAGACGUUUAUGAAGUGUCCAAAUUUGACGGAGUCGCAAAAGAUGUCCCACAUUUAAGAUGGUUAUAAACCGUCUUAAAAGAUAUUAUAUAAGACAGUUUUUAAUUUAUAACCGUCUGAAAAAGGUAUUUGUUUAAGUCAUUUUGUCCGAUAAACCGUUUGAAAAAGGUAUUUGUUUAAGUCAUUUUGUCCGAUAAACUGUCUUGAAUUAGGUUUUUAUUUAAGACACUGCUUCUAAAGAACCGUAGAGAAUACAAACAUUAUAAGUCAUAAAGUAUUUAUCAAACUGUCUCGAAUAUCCUACAAUAAUAGACGAUUACAAUAGGAAAACCAUCUUAUUUAGGUGACUAAUAAUAGACGUUUUAGAAACCGUCUUAUUUAUGAGACUAGUAUUAGACAUUUUGGUGACCGUCUUAUUAAGAUUUAAACGAAAUGACUUACACGGCAGUACAUUCUUCAAUUUAUAAUCAUUUUUCAAAUAUCACGUUAUAAUAAUUUAAAAGAGAAAUAUACAUACACAUAUAUUGAACAACAUUAUAAUUAAUAUAAUAUAAAUAAGUACCAUUCAAUAUAUCAUAAAUAAGCAUUAUCAAACAACACAUACAUAAGUGUACUCUAAAUCUAAACUAAAAUACAACUGUUUGCACUAAUGUUAAGCCUAACUUUAUAUGUGUUGGGCACUUGUUCUCAAAUGCUAAGAAUUAAGAACAAGGCAACACAAAAAAUGUUAAGUGUUAAGGUCCUUCGUCCUCCAUAACGAUAUAUCCCUUCGGGAUAUAAAGCAUUUCGGACGAAGGUUACGAAGGACAUACCUUCGUAAGCAUAACAACGAAGAAUGAAGCGUUCACAUAAAUCAUAGAAUAUGAAGUAAAUAUUUAAAUAUCGUCAUAGAAUUAUCUCUACUUGUAUUAAUGAAUAUAAAUGACUUUGAAUUACAAAUGUACCUUCGGUCCUGCGGAAGGCAAAAGUACAAGCGUGAUGUGAAAGCAAAUGACAGGUUCACGUGAACAGUACAGAGGUACUGUUCAUCUAUUUAUAGGCACAGGUCGCAGCCUGUGACAAAUUACAAUUAUGCCCCUUGCGAAAGUUUACAGCAUUGACUCAGACCUAUAUGUAUAAAAAGGUCAUUCUAUCUCUAUGUCGGUUUAAAACGCCGAAGCUCCAUGAAAAGGGACCUUCGGCCAUCUCUUGGAGACGACUUCAGCCGAAGCUGCUUCUUCGUGUGAGACCUUCGGCGCACCGAAGCACGACCCCAACAGUAGCCCCUUUCGCGGUGCUAGAUCGUUCUUCGUAACGAGCUUGACCCGUGAAAAAAAGCCUCUUCAGCUUCGGGAAGCCGAAGGUCCAAAAAACACCUUCCCUGAGCUCGUUGCGGAGAAACGAUCCGACUUCCGAGCGCGUGUCGGUCCCACCUUGCAGAGUUACUGUUUGAUCCUUGCGGUCCACUGCGCAGCGGGUACAAGUUACUGCGCGCCUGGUGUAACAAUUCCGCCGCUUCGCCUUCUUACCUGCAGCACUAUAUAAACUGACAAGUAGUUGUGAAGUUACCACAGCAUUCAUUGCUAUUUGCACUGUUUUGCUGCCGAAAUUUUCCAGCAUAGCCGAAGCUUAAGUCCCAAAAUCGAACGAAGGUGCUUCUCAACGUCCGCUUCGUCAGAAAGAAGAGCUUCGGAGAAAAGAAAAAAGUAAAAAGUUUUUGACUUCCCAAACUUAGAAUCAAAUGGCGAGAAUACGAUCUACUGCCAAAGUUGUACGUGAGGGAGACGAAGCCGAAGGUUCAGACACUGUGCCCAUCUCCGAAGCAAUGCAGCGUUCCGGUCUACUGACUACAGAAGAAAUGCCUGCUGCUGAAGCAGGCCCAACAACUGCCGAAGGAAAAGAAAACAUUGAAGGGACUGACUCCGAAGAUGACUAUGACCUUGCUAUGCCCAGCAAGCCCAGUCACCUGGAUUUUGGGAAAUCAACUGUUUCAAAAGCUGACCUUUCGAAGAUGGUGAAAGCAGGUUAUUUCAAUGAGGACCAGAAGAAGCUACUCCGCUUCGGGAAGAAGAAACCACCCCGAAGCCAAGGAAGGAUGAGAUUGUUAUUUUCAAGAGUUUUUUAAAAGCCGGGCUUAGAUUCCCUCUCCACGGUAUUGUUGCGGAGAUACUAAGGAGGUUUGGUAUCUAUUUUCAUCAAUUGACUCCUAACGCCAUCGUUAGGCUCAAUGUUUAUAUCUGGGCCCUCCGAAGCCAAGCUGUGGAACCAUUUGCUGACAGCUUCUGCCGAGCUCACGAAUUACAUUACCAAACAAAGGCCAGAAAAGAUGGGCUACAUGAUAAUUUCGGUUGCUAUAAUUUUGCCUACCGGAAGACAACAAAGUGUCCUGUCAUCAGCUACCGAAGCAAAUGGCCAGCAGGUUGGAAAUCUGAGUGGUUUUAUGUAAAAGUUGACGAAGACAAAGAAAAACUGGUACAAAGCCCUUUGGAGUUAAUCUUCGGAGAGACAAGGCCACGAUGCCACAUUGGCGACCUAAAAGGUCCCACCUGGGCUGCUCUGGGUGAAUUUGAAGUUAUCUCAGAACAUAUUGGCACCAGGGAUCUAGUUCAAGAGUUCUUGGCAUUCAGAGUUUUCCCUACUCUAAAAGAGUGGGAGAUGCCGAAGCUGGAGGGAGAGAAGAAGAAGGGUGAACUCGUCCGGCUUCCCUAUCACUUCAAGUUUAAAAAGUACUUCAAAAAACCCUGCAAAGAGUGGUUAGAAUCAAUUGAGGUGAUGUGCAAUGAGAUCCUGGGGAAUUACUCCAAAAAAGAGGAUCAAUUAAUGACAGCAGCUUUCGGUGCCCGACCGAAACGAAGACUGAACCGAGUAUUUGAUGCCCUGGGCUUCGAGUAUUCAGACUACGAGCAGUUGAACAAGGGUGCCGAGGGCCAUAAAAGAAAAAGAGUAGCCGAAACCGAAACUCUGAUCAGAGAUGAAGAAGGACCAGCAAAGAAAAAGAAAAUUAUCAAGAAAAGAACAAUAUCCACUCCGAAGCGCAAAUCACCCGAAGAAGAGGGGUCCCCCACACCGCCUUCUACCAGCGACGUGGAUGAAAUUUUAAAGGUAAUGACUGAACCCAUGCCCACGAAGCUAAGUCCACUAGGGCUCCAACUGACGAAGCUUUUUCGAAAGGUGGACGAGCCGGAUCAGACGAAGACAAGCAAACCCAAGCGGCAAAGAAUCAUUGCGGUAACUGAAGUUAUCGAUAAGACGCCGCCAAGGGCGUCAAUCCAAAAAACGGUAGCUGCCGAAGGUACAGCAAUCGUCGAAGGCGUAGCUUCGGGGGUCGCGGCUACCGAAGCCGCUACAGCCGAAGAUACAAACUUAAAAGCCACGAUUGAGAAUAUCAACAAGAUUUUGGAAGACAUGGCUGCGGAAGAAGCUGGUGCUACUACUGAAAAAACCAUGGCCACAGUGCCUGAGAAAGGAAAAGAAAUAGCCGAAGACCCUUCGGACGACGAAGCCUACUCUUUCCAGAACUUAGUUGGGCAAAAACUGACGAAGGACGAAAUAGAAGAACUUAAAGACUACGCCAAGUCUUGCGGCUACAAGUCAGGUGCCCUCCUAUUUGGGGGUGUAGAUGAUGAAAAACUAGGCUGUAUUCGAGACCAGACUGGAGCUAAGGUAAUCGGUACUCUAUCGAAGAGUAUCGGUAUUCCGAAGCUAGAGACAGACAUCAGCCGCUACCGACGACAACACAUCGUCGGCAGCUUGUUUUAUUCUAACUUCAAGGUAAACAACCUUUUUCUCUGGUUUUUAUUGCCGUUAACAAUGAAAAUAUUAUUUAACAUAAGUUGCUUCUGUUCAGAGCAUGCUACUGAGCAAAGCUCUGAAGAUGCAACAAGACUUGGAGGACAAAAAGCACGAAGCUAUAAUUGAAAACUUGGAAAGCAAAAUAAAAGAGCAAUCUGCCAUCAUUGAAAAGAAAGACUUCGAGCUCCAAUCGACCGAAGGCUUGCUGGCUGAAACUGAGGCUAAAAUAUUAGAGUUAAAUUCGAAGCUUAUCAAUCAAUCAAAACAAUUUGAUCAGGAGAAGCUAGAACUGAAUUCGAAGCUUAAAGCCGAAGUCCAGACCAGCUCAGAAUUGAAGAAAGCAUUAACAAGCCUUCAAGACAAAUGCUUGAACUUUGGCAAUAAUUGUAUUGGACGAUUAAAGAAGAUAUUUUACUCUGUUGGAGCCAGCAGUGGGAAAUUUAACCCUUCGGCGGAAAAUUUACCCCAGGCCUUCGAUCAUAUUGAAGCUGAAAUCGAAGAGCUUGACGAAGUUAUAGCCGGGCACGGCGACUUCUGUGCCUGGGUAGCUUCUCGGGGUACCGCUGCUGCAUUUCUGAAGGCCGGCUGCGAACAUGGAAAGGUUGUCAACAGGCCCAACUUCACCUUAUCUUCAUCAAUCCUGGAUGAUAUGCCCGACCUCGCCCGAAGUAUCUCCAAUAGAUUUAUAAAAAUGGUAUGGACAAAGGGCGGGCGAGAGAAAGCUGGAGACGAAGCCCGAAGUCAUCUUAAACCAGUAAGAAAUGACAUUUCGUGCUUACCUUUUCCUUUGGGCUUGAUUCUUAUGAUUCCUUGACUCAUGUAGGAUGACGAAGGUGAAGAUGAUGCCUAGGAUAUGUCGCCGAAGUUGUCGUCGAAGCUGAAGCUUAAUGAAGACUAGCAGAAGUGUGCUUUAGAAAAACUCAGGAUAAUUUUGUAACAACUCUUGUAAAUAGAAUUAAACUGUUCUUCAAGGAACUUUGUACAUACCUUGUAAUAUAUUCUUACCUUUCGGUUGAGGUGCUUUGAUGUGGACGAAAUCAGUUUUUUGAGCCGAAGGCGAAAAAACACCUUCCCUUCUUUUCGUACACAACGAAGCAUAAAAGGCCGCUUCCUCUUUUUGCCGAAGCCUUUCCUUACAUAACAAAACAUAAAAGACUGCUACUCUUAUCUGCCGAAGCUUUUAUUUACAUGACAAAACAUAAAAGACUGCUACUCUUAUCUGCCGAAGCUUUUAUUUACAUGACAAAACAUAAAAGACUGCUACUCUUAUCUGCCGAAGCUUUUCCUUACAUAACAAAACAUAAAAGACUGCUACUCUUAUACACAACGAUUCAUAAAAAACCACCUCUUCGAAACUUUUCUUUUACAUAACAAAUCAUAACAAACCAUUUAUCCGAAACUUUUCUCUGUGCCGAAGCAACCAUUUAGGAACACAAAUGCUAUGAAUGAAUGCUUAUGCAUGCAAAUGCCAUGAUGUAAUGUGCAAAUGAAUGUCCGAAGCGUAUAUCCGAAGCCACACUCAUCCAUCAUUUUCUUAGGAGCAAACACACGUCAGCUCUGCAUUCCCUUAGGAACGACUUUGGAGCAUAUUUGCCUUUUACUUAGGCAGUAUCAGCGUUGACUUUUCGCUGUAAGCUCUGCAUCCCCCUAGGGACGUCUUUGGAGCUUCUUCGUCUUUUACUUAGACGGUAUAAGCUCUGCAUUCCCUUAGGAACGACUUUGGAGCUUCUUCGCCUUUUACUUUCGGCGGAAUCAGCGUUGACUUUUCGCUGUGAGCUCUGCAUCCCCUUAGGGACGUCUUUGGAGCUUCUUCUCUUUUUUAGUUUCGGCACUCGAUGGUGCGCUCUCAGCUUUUACAUUUACAUUCUUUUGGGGGAUUUUGCUCUUAUAAAACUAAAAAGGAAAUUACAUAUGAUGGCCCCAUUAAAAACCUUUCUCCCCCUUUAGAAAGGAAAAGGGUGCCAUGAAAAAGAAAAGAAAAGUCAAAAUUACAUCGAGUUAUACAUAAAACCGCCGAAGCUCAUCCGCAUUCCAAGAUCUUGGAAUUUCAUUGCCAUCCAUGUCCUUCAGUCUGUACGAACCAGGCCUUGACGAAGAUGCUACUAAGAAAGGCCCUUCCCAUUUCAGUUGCAAUUUGCCCACUGUAUCCGGAUUGGCCACUCUCCGAAGCACCAAGUGUCCUGGCUCAAUAUUUUUUAGCCGGACCUUUCUAUCUCGCCAUUUAACUGUUUCAGCCUGGUACUUAUUGAUAUUCUCCACAGCCUGAAGCCUGAUUCCUUCUAAGGCAUCUUUUUCCACGAGACAAGUAUCUUCGGGACCUGAUUCUGCCGAAGCUACCACUCUUAUUGAUCCAGCUUUGGCUUCUUCCGGGGUUAUUGCUUCGUCACCAAAUAACAACUUAAAUGGGGUAAAGCCUGUAGAUCUUGAUGUUGUUGUGUUAUGGCUCCAUACCACUUUGGUAAGCUGAUCUGGCCACUUUCCCCUUGGUUGAUUAAAGAUUAGCUUCAUUAUUCCUGUCAUUAUGAUGCCGUUGGCCCUUUCAACAAGCCCAUUCGACUCCGGGUGCCUGACUGACGCAAAGUGGAUCUUCGUGCCAAUUUGAUCACAAAAAUUUCUGAAUUCUUCGGAGUCAAAUUGUGUUCCAUUAUCUACAGUUAUAGCCUUCGGCACUACGAAGCGACAGACAAUAUUUUGCCAGAAAAAUUUUUGGACAGUGGCCGAAGUUAUUGUAGCUAAUGGCUUCGCCUCAAUCCACUUGGAAAAAUAUUCCACAGCAACUACAACAUAUUUCAGAUUGCCUUGAGCCGGUGGUAAUGGGCCCAGCAAAUCGAGGCCCCACCUUUGCAAUGGCCAGAUGGGUUGUAUUAGCUGUGUCAAAGACGAAGGUUGUUUUUGAUCUCUUGCACAUUUCUGACAACCUUCGCACUUUUGAACUAACUCAGCUGCAUCCGAAGCUGCCUUCGGCCAAUAAAAUCCUUGACGGAACACUUUUCCAAGUAACGGCCUGGAUCCGAUGUGGGAUCCACAAAGGCCUGCAUGUAUCUCCUUCAUCAACUCUAUACCUUCGGCUCUAGACAAGCACUUGAGCAGCGGGGCACAAACUCCAUGCUUGUAUAACUCCCCUUCUAUAAUGAUAUACGGACGAGCUCUUGCCUCUAUUCUUUUAUUAUAAGCUUCGUCAUCUGAUAGGAAGUUGCCCUGAAGGUAAGAAAUUAUUUCAGUUCUCCAAUCUUCACUGUACACAGGAGAAAUAGUAAGAACUGCUCUUUCAAGUAACUCUACUGAAGGUGCCUUUAUUGUUUCGAAGAAUACAUCCGAAGGUAGCGGCAGCCCCUGUGCUGCAGACCUGGCUAACAAAUCAGCAUGUUCAUUUUGCCCUCGAGGGAUAUUCUUAACAGAAAAUCCUUCGAAGGAAGCUUCGAUCCUUCGGACUGUGUCUAGGUAUUUUUCAAGCUUCGGGUCUUUAGCCUUGCAACUUUUGUCAAUAUGACCCGAAACAAUCUGAGAAUCAGUUUUAAGGAUCGCCCUCCUGAUCCCCAUCGCCUUUAGUUUCCGAAGACCCAGGAGCAAGGCUUCGUACUCAGCAAUAUUAUUUGUGCAGCUGAAGUCCAGUCUUGCUGCAUAGCAAGUUUUAACCUUGGACGGUGAAACCAAAACAGCAGCUGCUCCUGCUCCGAAGGUUCCCCAGGAGCCAUCACAAAACACUGUCCAAGCUUCGGCAUCUUUAUUCGCUUCUUCGCCCUGAGCCCCUGGCGUCCAGUCGGCAAUAAAAUCUGCCAAUGCUUGAGACUGGAUCGAGGAUCUGUGCACAUAAUCAAUGUAAAAUUCAUUAAGCUCCGCAGCCCAUUUUCCAAUUCGGCCAGUAGCUUCUUUAUUUCUCAUGAUAUCUUUCAACGGCUGCGAAGAAGGAACAAUAAUAUUAUAUGCCUGAAAAUAAUGCCGAAGCUUCCUGGAUGCCAUUAGAACGGCAUACAACACCUUCUCCAGUUCUGUAUAAUUUUUCUUUGAGACACUAAGGACCUCAGAUACAAAAUAUAUUGGGGCCUGCUUCUUGAUUUGUCCAUCAAACUUCUCCUGCACAAGUGCCGCACUUACUGCUGAGUGCGAAGCUGCCACAUACAACAACAGAGGAGCCCCUGGCAUUGGUGGAGUUAAUGUUGUUAGAUCUAUCAGGUAUUGCUUGAGUUCUUCGAAAGCUUUUUGUUGAGCUGGGCCCCAUUGAAAGACUUCAGCUGAUUUUAGCACCUCGAAGAAGGGUAGAUUUCUUUCCGCUGAUCUGGAUAUAAAUCUGUUAAGAGAUGCCAGUCUUCCUGUCAAUCUUUGGGCCCCCUUUCUUGUGGUUGGUGGCUCCAUUCGAAGUAUAGCUUCGAUUUUAUUUGGGUUAGCUUCAAUUCCCUUUGUUGAAACCAAGCAUCCAAGGAACUUACCCUUCUUUACUCCGAAGACACAUUUUUCUGGAUUCAGCUUCAGACCAGCUUGUCUGAAACUGGCGAAGGUCUCCUGCAGAUCAGCAAUAUGGUCUUCUUGCUUCGUGCUUUUUACAAUAAUGUCAUCAACAUAGGUCAACACAUUUCUGCCUAUCUGAGAUUGGAGAACCUUCGCAGUCAUCCUGCUGAAACUCCCUCCAGCAUUCUUAAGCCCCUCAGGCAUCCGAAGAUAGCAAUAUGUACCACUUGGGGUUAUGAAACUAGUCUUCGACUCAUCCUCCUUUUUCAUCCAGAUUUGAUGAUAGCCUGAGUAACAAUCCAGGAGACUCAUGAGUUCCGAAGAAGCUGCUGCAUCAACUAAAGAGUCUAUCCUUGGCAGCGGGAACUCAUCCUUCGGACAAGCCUUGUUGAGAUCUGUGAAAUCAAUACACAUUCUCCACUUUCCAUUGGCCUUCUUCACCAUAACAGUGUUAGCUAGCCAUUCUGGAUACUUCACUUCUCUGAUAACUCCUGCACUUAGGAGUCUUUUUACUUCGUUGCGAGCCCCUUCGGCCUUGUCAUCAGACAUUUUCCGAAGCCUCUGCUUGCGGGGUCUGAAGGAUGGGUCAACAUUGAGCGAAUGUUCAAUAACAUCCCGAUUCACUCCACAAAGAUCAUUGGCUGACCAUGCAAAAACAUCUUUAUUGUUGAAUAAAAACCUUAUCAAGGUUUUCUCUUGAUCUUCAGAUAAUUGCGAGCCCAAUAGCACCUUCUGCUCUGCUAUAUCCUCACACAGCAGCAUGGGCUUCGGCUGAUCAGCCGAAGCUGCUUUUUCCCUCCUGAACCUGUACUGUUCACAAGCUUCAACUCCAUCUAUAUUAUGGAUUGCCUUGGAAUCAGUCCAGCUUCCUUCGGCCCUUCUGGCAGCUUCCUGACUCCCAUGAAUAGCAAUAGGCCCUUGGUCCGAAGGUAUCUUCAUGCAGAGAUAAGCUGGGUGAAGAAUUGCUUCAAAAGCAUUUAGGGUACCACGACCAAUGAUGGCGUUGUAGGGGUAUUCCAUGUCAACAAUAUCAAACACAAUUUGCUCAGUCCUUGUGUUAUUAACAAAUCCGAAGGUUACCGGCAUGGUAAUCUUCCCGAGUGCCACAAUCUGCCGCCCUCCGAAGCCACAAAGAGGGUGCGUAGCAUCAUGAAUCUUGUCUUCAGGCUCUUGCAUCUGUCUGAAGGCUUUGGCAAAUAUAAUGUCAGCUGCACUGCCUGUGUCAACUAGGACAUUGUGAACCAGAAACCCUUUGAUCACACAAGAAAUGACCAUAGCAUCAUUGUGAGGAUAGUCCUUGAGCUGAAGAUCUUCCUGAGAGAAGGUAAUUGGAAUGUGAGACCAUUUUGACUUAAUGAAGGGUCCCUGCACUCCAACAUGCUGCACCCUUCUCUGAGCCUCCUUCUUCUGCUUUUUGUUAGCUGGCUCUGAGCAAGAACCGCCUGUUAUCGGGAGCACCAGCUUCGAAGCCGAAGCAGCUCCAGCUUGAGUGUUGAACGAAGCCAUCAGCUCAGAAAGGUGGAAGUGAGUUGACCGGAGGUGGGCGCCAAUGUUGGGCACUUGUUCUCAAAUGCUAAGAAUUAAGAACAAGGCAACACAAAAAAUGUUAAGUGUUAAGGUCCUUCGUCCUCCAUAACGAUAUAUCCCUUCGGGAUAUAAAGCAUUUCGGACGAAGGUUACGAAGGACAUACCUUCGUAAGCAUAACAACGAAGAAUGAAGCGUUCACAUAAAUCAUAGAAUAUGAAGUAAAUAUUUAAAUAUCGUCAUAGAAUUAUCUCUACUUGUAUUAAUGAAUAUAAAUGACUUUGAAUUACAAAUGUACCUUCGGUCCUGCGGAAGGCAAAAGUACAAGCGUGAUGUGAAAGCAAAUGACAGGUUCACGUGAACAGUACAGAGGUACUGUUCAUCUAUUUAUAGGCACAGGUCGCAGCCUGUGACAAAUUACAAUUAUGCCCCUUGCGAAAGUUUACAGCAUUGACUCAGACCUAUAUGUAUAAAAAGGUCAUUCUAUCUCUAUGUCGGUUUAAAACGCCGAAGCUCCAUGAAAAGGGACCUUCGGCCAUCUCUUGGAGACGACUUCAGCCGAAGCUGCUUCUUCGUGUGAGACCUUCGGCGCACCGAAGCACGACCCCAACAAUAUGAAUUCAAGUCUCCACAUUUUGCGGCCACCAAAUUUGAAUUCCAUUCUAUGUUUUCGUGUACAAUAAAUAGGAGAAAACUAGACAUAGCAAAAAGCUCCAAGCAGGACGUGGAUGGUCUCGAAGCUGCCCUUGUGCUUCUCCCUGUUCUUGAUCACUCCUACACGCCCGGUGUUCGUCCCGCCGGUCAUCAUGACCACGUUGCCGACGUCAAACUUGAUGAAGUCCAUGAUCUUGUUGGUCUCCAGAUCGAUCUUGAUGGUGCCAUUUCUGCAAACUUUUAGCUAUACAGAAGGGAGAUUGUGUUUGGAGUAAAGAACGACCAACCUCACCACAUUUGGACUCAAAGAAUAACUUUGGAUCUGUUUGAGUGACCUGCGUGUAUUAAAACAGAACCAUGACAGAAUGAAUACCUAGUGGUAGUAGCAUGAGUGCAGGUACCAAACCUUCUUGUCAAUGUUUGUGCAGUAGAUAGUCCUUGCACACAUUUCACGUUCAUCGUCAGACUACAGAGCACAGAAAAUCGACCAACUUUCUUAGAGACCAUAUCAGAGAGUAAGCAAACUGAAACAUGGUUGGAUAUGGAUAUAUUACCCUCAUCAGUGAACUCUAUGAAAGCAAACCUAAGGACUGAAUUUGGGUCCCCACACAUGCGACAGUCCACAACCUUCAGAGAGCAUAUCCAAGAUUAUGCACAGUUGGAUCAAAAUCAAAUGGGGAACUAAAUACAUGUAAGAGGGUUUACAACUGUCCCAUAAAUUUGUACCUGUCCGCAAUUUAUAAAUAGUGUUGCGAGGUUUUCUUCAGUAACCUGAACAAUAGAAGAGAAAUUAGCACUAGAACUACAUAUGAUUGUUAGUUAGCAACUCAAACAUUUCACUACAAUAUUGAAUAAAUAGCACACUACAGAAGCUACCAUAUAGAAUAACAGUUAGAUAAAAAUUGUCCUAAUACAUUACCCCCAACGUUUUCAACUCCGAUUGGCAAAAAGGUAACACUGUCAUGUAUGACAGAAAAGAAAGGGGCGCAGCCAUACAAAGCUAUGGCAACAACUACAUGUUUUAAGAAAGGUUGGCUAUUCACAAUUAAUUUGUAUUUUACAAAAACAACAGUAUAACUAACUACAUCAACAAACACUAUCUUAGUAGCCAUAGAAGUGUGCCAAACUUAAAUAUGUGCAUUGCAAAAUGUUUGUAGAUAAGGGCAUGUAUUGAUUUAAUUAUGGUAGUUACUUUAUGUCAUCAAUUCGUAUUACAUAUCAGUUUGAUUGAUUAAUACAAGGUAACUACUGAAUGCAUAAACAAAGUUUCAAAUUAAUCUUACGGUAUGCUUUAACCAGGGCAGUGCAACAUGAUGCAGGAACUGGAGAUGACGGCAUCUCUCUAAGAACAUAUUGUAUUAAAGGAAAACCAGACAAAUAUCAGUGAAGAGCAUUCCUAUUAAGUGAGAUUGUAACCAACACUUGCCAGAUAUAUACCUUAAUACAGUCACCAAUAACAUGAGCAUCCUCUUCUGGAGAGAACUCGUUUUUCCCUUAAAAACAAACUAAAUGUGUCUUAAAUAGUACACAGAAGAUGGUAAAGCAGUCAAAGCAAAUAAAAAUACAAUUCCCACACAUUAUUAUGGCCCUCAUAAAAUAUCUGUAUGAAAACAUAGUGAAGAAGACAAAUUAUUUUAAAUUGAAGUAAAGACUGCCAAACACCAAACGUAGUUAUCCUAGAUAAGAAAACAAAAGGUUCAGUCCAAAGAAAUCACCCUUUUCAUAAUCCUGAAUUCUGCGUUUGACUUCUUCAACAUCAGCAGACUGACGCAGGAUGCCCUCUACCUUUACCCCUACAGAUAAAGGUUUUUUUUGUGUGUAUUAAGACUAUGUUGAAUGAUUUAUAGCCAUUUAUGCUUUUACUCACCACAGUGUAAAAUUUGCUAAGACUGUGUAAUGACCGCAAUAAGCAAAAGAACUUACCAUGAUCUUCAAUGAACUUCAGGGCCUUCUCCAGAAAUGAUGGACUACCAUCAGCAUGCUGCAGAUCUCUCACUGUGCAAGAAGUCUAUCUGAUGAAGGACUGCAACUUCAACUCCUGCGGCACCACGCAUUCGCUCGCCUGCGCGCCCACGCACUGCCGCACACUGAAUUUGCAGGUCCAUCACAAGAUAUGAGAAACAAUUCUGUAUUGUGCGCCUGAAGUAAUUGUCUGCUCCAUACUCAUGUAUGAAUAUACCAACUCUACUUUUAAAAGAAAAACUAUUACUCAUAGAAAAAAGGAGCAUACCUCUUCCCUGUUUCCCCAGCCAUCAUAGGCUACAUAGUAUCCAUUUUGUGCUGUAGCUCCAACUGUUGCUUUAUACCUAGCAUUUUAGCCAAUCAAACAUGUUGUAAUGAAAUGAAGUGAAAAAUAUUAAAGAUAAGAUUAUCUAGACACAAACAAUGAUAGAUAUAUCAAAGAGAAGCUCACACAUUCUCCAUCUUCACUCCACCCAGCUUGAACUCUAGUACCAACGCCAAACCUAUGGGAAUGUGAAAAUAUUGUAAUGACUAUGCUCGUGUUUUUUCUUAAUGCAAUGGUCCAUGGUAGCGAGGUUACCAGCCAGGGAAAAAGCAGACAUAAGUGUAAAGCACUCGACAGGGGUUGAUGGCUAGCUAAUCUACGCUCCAAACUGUGAUUAAUAAGAUAAGGAAGAUGGUGGUACUUACUGAUGAGGGUCCCACCGUUGAUCCGGGACUUUGUGCUGCCAAAGGCGGCGACGGAGAGGGCCCCGCCGCUGACACCUAGUCGCUGCAGAGUUAUUUCUACUCCAUACUUCACCGUGUGAGAUCUUGCAAACCUGAGGUAUGAAUAUCUAAUAGCAUGAAUCUAAGUAGCAAGUGAUAGCACAUAUCACAAAACAGUUGCUGUGAAAACCAAAUAAAUUAAAAACGAUGAGAUAGAGUACACAAGUUACUCUAGCCACAACGAAACGAGCACCUCACCCUGUAGAAAGUCCUGCUUUGAGUACAGGCUGUUAUAGUCAACAUCAACAUCCGUCUCAGAUUUGGAAUCCAGGAAUUCUGAUACCUGAAAAAAGUAACAGGAGAGAUAACGAUAGUAUCAUACGUAAGUGACAUAAAUCAUAAAUGGGAACUCCAUGCUUUAGAUAAGCGGCUUAAAAAAUAUGUUCCUAAAGUGGCCUACAACUAAGUGUAAGAUAAUGUGGUGAAUGUUGUACCCAUGAAUAAAGUGAGCACUUAUGCAAUGUUGUACAAGAUUUACCUCAUCGACUAGUUGCCUAACUAAAAUUGGUCAUGCAGUCCCAACAACAAGAAUCCUAAUUUAACUCCUAGUUAACUUCUAAAAUUUUCAUGUGCCUAAUACUUCAAAUAUGCUAAUACCUUAUAUUAAAGUAGAUCUAAAAUCACCCACUUAAUCACAUAUAUGUACUAGUCCACCUCAUAACCGUGCACAAAAUCAUUUCAAAUAAACUCAUAAUUUUAGACCUAAACUUCACAUAUAAACACAAUCAACACAACAACACUGAUAGGACCCGUCAGAUAGCCGAUAAAAAUUCUGAACUCAUCCUACGCAAUUUUAGUUCACCACAAUCAUAACAUCGAACCUAUAAAACCUAGACUUGGUCAUAUCAUUAUAAAUAAUGGGACAACUAAACAAACACUUUAUGGCGAGGCACUUCAACGAUCAUCUAAUAUAAGCACUACAAAUACUUAAUACCACCACAAUAUCUACAAAGAAAAGAGAGGAAAGAAUCCUUCCCUGUAUAACUCAAUGGACUAGCACGCAAGCACUGCUACGGAUCAUGAGGUUAUCCCAGAGCACAUCAACCUCAAUCAAUUCCGAAUACACAAGAACGACGUCAAUCCCAUGGCUCAGGCGUCCCACCGAAUACCUGGCGAGCAUCACAUGACCUCACUCCUUUAAUUACUUCCUUGCUCAAACAUGGGGAUUUCAAUUCUUCACAAAAAUGCACACAUAUACACAAUUAAUAAUUAAGCACGGGCGCCGGAUGGGAAACGAACAGAGCAAAACACGACACGGACGUGACCUGAGCAAACAUCGGCGUGGAGCUAGGGGCCAAGCAGAGGAGGUACGAAAAGGAACGGUACCUAGAUGCUUGACCACGCCAUCGGGAGGGGCUGGGAGCUCGGCAUCGGCCUGGGCGUCGAUGGAGAGGAGCAGGGACGGGAGGGGGCGCUCGCGUGCUGGCAUGGGGAGGGCGCGGCGAGCAGAACGGUCGGACCUGGCAAACCUGGUCGGAGCAGGGAGGGAACCAGGGGGAUGGAGGAGCUGGACGUGAGGGCGACGGCACGUCCGACGUUGGGGCUGAGGCGAGCUCACCAUGGAAGCAGGGGCACAACCAUGGUAGGGUUGCUGCAGAGAGGAAGAUGGAGGGAGGGGCAUCGGCUGGACACAACAACAGGAAGGGGAGCUAGUUGGACCUGAGCAGGGCGACGUCGGCCAUGGAGGUUUGGGCAUUGACGCUCGGCUUGGGAGAAGCCAGGGAUGGCGCUUGAGGAAGAGAGAUGCUGGUGAAGGGAUCUCACGUGUGGGGGAGGAAAACUGGGCUCCAUGCCUCCAUGGCGGCUGAAAGGAUAAGGAUGGUUGGAGAAUCUCCUGUUGAGCGAUUUACACCAGGAUAAGGCCCUUAAGGAUUGGUUUGGUGACAAGGGGAUCCCGAGAGGAUUGGAGGUGAUUGAAGGGGAAAUAAACUAAUUUCCCCUUCAAUCCCCUCUUAUCCUCCCGGGAUCCCGGGUCACCAAAUCAGCUCUAAGAGUCAUGCGAUCCAUUCUUGACUCUUGAGAGGACAAUGCCGGCUACAGAAAAGCCUAGAAGCCCCAAGCGGCUGGAGAUAGAGCUGAUGAUUAGUAAAAGAGAAAUUAGAUCUUUCUCCCAUUUUCUUCAAUAAAAGAAUAUAAACCCGAGCUCUAAAAUUAGAGUUUGAACAGGGUAUAAGUGGAUCAGAUCACAAUGAUACAGGUCGACAGUACUUGUGACAGGGUUUAAUUUAAUCGAAACCAAAUUGAAUUUAUCUGAAUCUCAUUUAUAUUGGCAAAAGCAAAUUUUAGAAAUCCGAGUUCUAGUAUUAGGAUUUAGACGUGGUCUAAUUUAGUCGGACCAAAAUUAUAUGGGUGAUUGUAUUUAGACAACUUUUGCUUAAGUUUGAAAUUGGACAAAAAUGUAUCUGCUAAGGAACAUAUUUAAUUUCUUCGCCUUAAUGAAUGGGGAAACUGAUUAAUUGCGAAUGCACGCUCUCGGCUCCAAUUUUCUCGGUCUAGUUUAAUCUCGCAUCAACACACUUGUCGUCGAGCUUCUAAUAAACUUUACUCGGGUCAAAAAUUACAGGAGUGGGUCGAGGUUCCAAAUUCUUAUCCGCUUAAUCGAUAAAUUUUAAUCAGACACAAAAUUCGACAUUUCGGGAAAUAAAUACGAGAGAUCAAUGUGGCAUCGAAAUUGUGAUCCUUUCUGAAGCGACGUCGCACAACGUUCACGUGGGCGAGAGGCUGCGAGCUGUCCAGACACGGAUUUGCACCGCCACACGCGUCAUGAUGUCUGACCACAGAUAGACAUGGGCAACGCAAGCGUGAAAGAAUUUCAAACAAAUUUUAAGGAAUCAGAUUCGAUUUCAAAGAUUGAAGUUUAGGCAAGACGUCGAUGGCUCAACCCAAACGAUAUUGGAUCUGAUGUUUCGGAAGAUUACUAAAGCCUAAAUUUUUGCAAAAUAAAUUAGGACAAUUUAAACAAAAGGAGACAGGCAUGAUAUCAAAAUCGUGAUAGACGAAGAUGAUCAAAAUUUAGUGUCCAUUUUAUUCACCGCUAUCACGUGUUAAAGUCCGCACUCGUGGUCGAGCCGACAAUAAACACCUGGGGUGUUACAGAUAAGUUUUACUUUAUAUCAUAUAUAUCAUCAAACUAAGUCGAAUUCACUAUUCACUAUGGUUUUUUCACAAUAUGACUUAUCAGAAAUAUCAUACUAAGAUGGUUUCGUAUUUAGAAGUGUCUAGUAUACCCACUAACAUCUAAGUCAGUUCUUAUACCCUAGACGACUCUAAUAAUAUCUUUUAUUUGAGAUGGUUUCAUAUGUAGAAGUGUCUAAUAUACUAACCAAAAUCUAAGACAAUUCUUAAAAUCAUAAUGAAUCAAAAGGAAUAUUUAUUUAAGAUGGUUUUCAAUAACAAUCCGUCUUAAAUCAACAUAAGACAUUUCUUACGAUGUAACCGUCUCAAAACACUUCUUUAUUAAAGACGGAUCUCCAAUAAACUGUCUUACCUUAUUCAUCACCAUAUGAUAAAAGACGCUUCUAUAAAAUGCACAUGUAUCUGUCUUAAAAUGUGCGUCUUAAAUAAGCAUAUUUCUAGUAGUGAAAAAUGGUCGCUCGGCCAUGAAAACGUGUGCUAUAGUUCAUGGGACCAAAACAACCUUACCAGUCUCUAUGGUCAAAUAAUGGGUGGCGGUCGGGAGGCACAAAAUCGCUGUUCGACGACAAAAACAUGUGUCACGGGAGGCCAAAAUAGCCUUACGGGCCGCCGGGGACUAAAACGUGUACUAUGGUUUGGACACUAAAAUUCUACCAUGCCUGCAAGCUUACUAUGGUUUGGAGACUCAAACUUCAUUUUACUAUGGUUUGGACACUAAAACCUUUUAGUGUCGGUGUUUAAGGUUAGGGUUUAGGGAUUGGAUCUUGGGUCUAGGUUACCAUAAAAACAUGCGCUAUAGCUCACUUGUGGCAAAAAAUGUCGUAACGGCCUCUCCGAUCUAAAAUGUAGGUGGCAGGUCGGAUGAGGCCAUAAUCAGCCUUAGCAGUCUCAGUGGCCAAAUCAUGGGUGGCGGACGGGAGGCAUGAAAUCGUCGUUUGACGAUGAAAACAUGUGUCACGGGAGGCCAAAAAUAGCCUUACCGGCCUCCGGGGACCAAAACGUGUACUAUGGUUUGGACACUAAAAUUCUACUAUGUCAGCAAAGUUGAUAAGGUUGGGAGACUCAAAUUUCAUUUUACCAUGGUUUCAACACUAAAAUCCUUUAGUGUCGAUGUUUAGGUUUAGGGAUAAGAUUUAUGUAACACCCCUGGUGUUACUAUAACUAAAACUUGAGCAUGGCAUCAUAAGCAUUGGCAUUGCAUAUGUUUGACACACCUAGAGUGCAUUCACUAGGUAAAAAUUUCAAACAAGUUGUAUUGUUCUAGUGUUUUUCAAAUAGGACCCUGGAUAGGGAACUUAACCCUAAAUAGGGAUUAAAGGGGUAAAACCAAACCCAAGUUGAGAAAACCUAAAAGCUUUAGGGUAAAAGUCAUAAAAUAACCCCAAGAAUAAACUUGAAUCACCUUUAUACCCCUGGGAUACCAAAAACCCUAAUUGGAACCCUGGAAAACCCUAAAACCAAACCCUAGGGACCUAUGUGCAAAAUUAGUCCACUUUUGGACUAAAGUGCAAAAACCAAGUCAAAUAAGUUUCUUAAGUCCUUUGGUUCACAAAUGUGUGGACUUGAAAGCCAAACAUUGAGUUUUGGACUUAAAUGCAAAAUGGACCAAAGUUGGAGCCUUGUAACUUUCAAACAUGUUCUUGUGAGAACAAACAUUGAAAUUUCAGAGUUUUGGCUCAACUUUGGAGCCUUGUAACUUUCAAACUAUAGAAUUUUUGCCCUAAAUCACCACACCAAAGUUGUAGAGCAAUCAAAGGAGAACAAUUUUGCUGAAGAGAGCAAGCCAUGUUCUUGUGAGAAAUUUGGAGAUAAUCAUGCUCUAAACUUGACUGUCAGGCUGUUUAAGUUCUGAAUCUCAGACAAGCAGCGCAACUGCAGGCACUUUGGGCAUGAAUUAAUACAUGAUCGAGCAAGUAUUUGCCUAGGAUUGCUAUACCAAGAUUAUAGCUGGAUCCUAGGGCUACAACUUUGCUAAAGAGUGUCGAUCAUGUUGAUAUAUAAAAUCAAGAGAAAAUCUGCCCUAAAUCCUGGCUGUCAGAUGACUGAAGAACAAACGCCAUGGUACAGUGCAUUGGGGAAACAGAUAAGGGUCUGAUCGCCGCGGCAGAAAAUCUCACCGCCGACGACCUAUCCGCGCCGCGAUUUGCGCCGGGGUCGAGAUGAUUAGGCGGCGAGCAUCUCCCUGCGAAGACCUCUUUGCUCCGGAUAAGACCGCCGCGGUGGAGGGCACUAACUCCGGUUGCCACGCGGCCAUCCCUCCUUCCGGCCAUGUCCGGUCACCGGCACCGCCCUCCUCUGUUCGGCCACGCCAUCACGGAUUUGACUGCCUUACGGCCGUGGUUGAACGUGGCAAGCUCUAGGGGAGUGCCGUGCUCAGUGCCAUCGCUGAUCGCCAGCUAGGGCCAGCAAUGGUUAUCACCGUGAUCGCGGCAGUGAUUCACCGCGGCUAUAAAUUCACCCCGUCCUCGCCCCCUUUUCUCAAAUCAACCGAGCUCCGGCCUUCGUCUCCAAAUUGCGAAGCUGUAGCAACCAUUCCUGUCCCCGAUUAGUCACCCUGGCCGGAGAAUUGCCAUUUUCCCCCAAAUCAUUCCGCCGCGCCACCCAAAACAGCCCGCCCGUGGCCAGCUUACUCUGGUAAGUCACUGUCCAAUCCAUGUGUUGUUCUAGUGCUUCUACAUCUUGCGAAGCUCACAGUGGCGUCCGUUUGCUCUAUUCGACCAUGGUUUGGCGGGAACAUGUGCUCACAAACUCGGUGUCUGCCACGAUCGUGGGCAGACGGCUCCCAGGGGGGUUCCUGUCCAAUUAACGGUUGUUCAUAGAUCGUCUUAGGUCGGUAAAGCCUCCCCGAGGGUUAGCUUGAGCAAUCAUCGCCGGCUAUGGCCGGUAUGUACCACGGCAGGGAUGAACAAUAAGCGCGCCGCGGUUGGGGAGCUCCUUGGAGAAGAAAUAGAAGUACGAGGGUAUUUCUGCAAUGUGUCAGCGACUUAGUGCAAUAGUAAAUGAACCUGCUUCGGUUUAGCUGAAAAGACGAGGGCCUCUAUGCAAAGUAGCCAGAGCACGCAGGCGCGCGCCGGCGCGCGACCCUUUUCCUGCGUCGUUGGGCCGACCUGGGUCAGAAUCGGCCCAAGACUGUUACAAGUUUCUCUUUUUCUUUUUAUUCCAGAACUAAAACAAUUAUAGAAAAUGAUAGAAAAAUCAUAAAAUUGUGAAACCAAUUUUCCUAGACUCCUUAUUUUCCCUAGUAUUUAAUAAAAAUAGUUUCAUGAUUUUUAGUUUAAACAGGGAAUUUUAGGGCAUUUAAAAUAGCUUAAAGAAAUAGUUCUGGAAUUUUAGAGAAUUAAUAGUAAUGCCAAAAAUGUUCAAAAUUUUUAUAUGAACACCCCAUAUUAUUUAGAAGCCUUGGGUAGAGUUUGAAUUGAUUUGGACCUUGUUUGAUAACUAGAACCCAAAACCCUACCCCUGCCCUUUGAACUCCUUUACUGACUCCGGAAACCCUAAGUUCUCGGAGUCCCAUGAAGGAAAGUUGUAUUCAAAACUUAGUUAAUAAACCUUUAUUAUCUAUGCACUCUCAUAAGCAUUACAUGACAUUCAUUCUUAUAUAUAUACCUAUAUGGUUAUAUUUAGAAAACGAAGAAGAGAGUGAAGUGACUGAAGAGAAGACACCACCACCUUUGGAAUCUCAGGCAGGGACUUGGCUCUACUUCGACAUCUGCGGGUCCGAGCCUGACUCACCUACUAAUGAAGGCAAGCCCCGGUGCAUGCAACCCCUUUCCUUGUGUUUUUAAAUAAUUUUUGCACACUUUAAGUCUAGUGAAAUGUGCAUUAGGUUCAUAGGAGUUACUUGGAACCCUUUGAUGCAUUGCUUCCUUGAUAUCCAUACCUUUAUAGAUACUUCUGAUGAAGUAUCAAAAAUAUGAUUUACAAAAAUGCUUAGCCCUGCUUAGAUCUUGUGGAUAGAAGUUGUCUUUUGCAAUACUGUUUAGCUCAGGGGUUAUCUUGAGGAAAGAUGACUUCUACCUGCAAGAAUAUUUUCAUUAAGAGCGUGGUGGGAUCUUACUGCAAAGCUCCCUGUGAUGCUCUUUUCAUCCUAAGGAACAGAACCAAUCCUAAGGAUGGAAGUACUUAAAUCGAGACUUGGGUUAGGAACAGGUGAUGUUCUACCCAGGUUGAUUAAGGAUUGGAUGCGUAUGUAGGCCUGCUAGCGCAAGGACUAUCUUAGCUAGCCGCAUACCCUGGAAAUGGGACAGGGUAAGCUUUGCCUCGGGCAGACUAAGGCCAGAAUAAGAUAACACGAAAUGGGCGUGGAGCGGUGGCGGGAGUAGCGUUUACCCUCCGUGGCAAGAGGCUGGACUGUGGUGUAUCUGUGCUCUCGGUUUGCGUGAACCUGAUCUGGUCUUAAGAACCCUGGGGUCGAGUUGACAUAUGCAAGGAUUAAGUGCUACAUAUGUCGUGUGGUUAGAGAUCCUCAGCUGAGUAAAUCGAUUCGGAUCACCGUUAUAUCCCCGGAGAGUGGAGACUUGAUCACUGACCUACAACCUAAGUCAGGAUGUGAACUUCAUGAAUAAAAAUGAUGUUGUAUUGAUGAGAUGAUGAAAUUAGACUAGAGGCAAACAGAGUCUAUUGAUAUUUAAUUUGGCGUUAAAAUAUUGAAAGUAAGGACUCACUCUAGUAAGCUAUUUCUUCAAAAGUAUCUAAGUUGAUUCUUGCUAAAGCCUCUCCUUGAUCCCUAUUUAUCCAGCAUCCCCUUGAGAGUCUUUUCCUUAGUCGGGUAAGACUUGCUGAGUAAUUCCAUACUUAGGGUUUAUCCCUUCGUUGUUUUUAGGUGAGGAAGCGACAAAGUUUUGUUGCUUUUGCUCCAAGGUGGUAUCAAAUGAAGAAGUAGAAGAAUGAAGAUGCGGGAGGACGUGGUCCUCCAUAUAGGACUUUUUGUUUGAUAGUUAUCGGGAGGAGUUUUUACCUCCCUUGGAAUGUGUAAUAAUACUACUCAGCACUCGUUUAUAGCACUGGUCUGUAAUAAGUAACUUGAUCUUACUUUCUAAAUAAAUGUAAGUUUAUGUAAAAGCUUCUGCAUUUCUUUAUCUUCGAUGUUCUGUAAUGUCUGCAAGACGGGUGAGACGUUCCUGGAAAGGUAAGGAAAGAUACCGAACUUGUCAAGUAGUUCAGGGGCACCUACAGGGUUGUCUGAGGUCCGUUGGACAAGGACAACUGUAGGUGGGCCUAAUUACUUGGGAGGUUCCGUCACAGCUGGUAUCGGAGCGUAGCCCUUCUUUGCAGAUAUUAUGCGGCAUCUUCAAAAAGAUUUUCUAAAAAGUCUUACCUAGAAACUCUUUUCCCUUCUUACCUAAGUAUUCUGAAGAGUUUAUCUUAAAGACCAGAUAGGAAGAGUGCAAUGUAUAGAAGGUUGAAUCAACUAAGGUUGAUUCUGUAAUUACACAUGCAUCAUGUCAUACAAACUUUAAGUUAAACCCCCUGUGUAGCUAGUUUAGUACAUGAUUCAUCUACCUUGUUCAUACAUCCUUAGUGAAUAGAGUGCAUCCGUUGCCCUUCUCUAUAGAUGAAUCAACAGGAAGCUCCUACAGGAGUUGGAGAGUUUCUACGAGAUUUUGGUGUUCCAGUGGUCCUGUGGCGACUACUUCAAGAAGUUGGAUAUACCGAAGCACCCAAGUACCAGUGGUCACGCACUGUUCUUAGAGGACAACCAUGGUAUGAGGUAGUAGUGCGUAUUCCAGAACGUGCUAGAAAACCAUCUUGGCCAUAUUGGAUGUUCCAUGCUGAAGGAAUGACUCCUUGGGAGGGUGCUCAGGUAGCUGCCUUAGAGGUGCUAACAACCAUUUGUUACCAGAAAAGGGAAGAAAUACAAGCCACAUCUAUGAGGUUGUUCCCUGCAGUUGCCUUAAGUGACCCAUUGGUGUAUCAUCACCAGGCCCGAUUAAUGGAAAGUAUUCCUAUUGGGCAGGAUUCUGUUGAAUCGGCAUCUGCUCGAGUUUUGAUGGCCGUGCUAGAGUUGCAACUUACUCGAGGGCACAGUCGUCAAAAGUGGCAGCAGUUGUACACUGGGAGUUAUGCAGCAUUUAAGAUGAUGGAAAUGGCCAAGAAUAGUGCUUGUACCCAAGCACAAGAACGACUUGAGGAAACAAAGGUUCAACCGGAACAGGUUAUUGGACUAGAGCAUCAGGUGACAGAACUUCAGAUGCAACACCAAGCUGAUCAGAAUCGCAUUAAGGUGCUUGAGCAUCAGCUAACUAAUGCUCAUUCUAAAUUAAAAAUUUUGAGUCAACAACAAGAAGAAAUUUGUCUGUAUGCUGUUGCUGUUAGAGAAGACCUUAAGGAAACCAUGAGCUUCAUAAGCCAUCAGGAUCAGGCGAUCAAAGAAUUGAAUCGUGCUCAUCCCAUGGAAUUUCAAGUAGCACAACGGCUUGUCAACCAUCUGCAGCAAUCAGUGCAUAGGCUCAAUGCUGCCGUUGAUCCUACUCCUGCAUCGGUGGACUAAGGGUUCCUUGGAAGAAUGGCAACAAACAUCUGGCAGAUGGUGUAGCUAGAGAAGAUGUAGUAGAUCAAUGUAAUAAGGUAGGUGUAGAUAGACCAGCUUGGUAAUAAAAACAGGUUAAACUUCGUUGGAAAGAGUUUUCCUGUUUCACCUGGAUCAUGUAACAUGUGAGCUUUUAUAUGACUAUGGUGUAAGAAACGACUGCCGGUUUCUGAGGCAACUUUUAAUAUCUAUAGUAGUUUGUCAAAAUUCAAGAGUUAAGAUGGCUAUUCCUUUGGAUAUUUCAUGCGGAUCGUCGUGUUGCUUUAUUAACCCAACCUAGGAAAGACAUGUCCGACCAUUUUUUUUGAAUUUGAUGCCUUUGGUUUCCCCAUACCUAUCGAAGGCAUACCAACUUAAUCCUUGACCUUGUGAUUUCUAUGAUGGGCAUAGAAAUAUGCCUGGGGCUGAUUUAACAGUCUCCCAUCGUACUUCUUUCAAAGUUUAGAUUAUGGCCAUGCCUUGGGCCAUGAUCUAUUUGGCGCUCUACUUGUAGCCAUCUUUACUGGUGGAGUAUCCCUUUGUAUAUAGUCACCCUUGCUCAAUCUAUCGGUGUCGCGUGAGAUUUCUUAUUGGUUAUGUCUGGUAAUGGUGUUAUGACUAAAAUCGGUGACACCACGCUGAAACCGAGGGCCUCCGGUGGGUGCACACACAUGGUUGCGCUACUUGGCACGCGCUAGUAUCACAGUUAGUAGUCAUAAUCCAUUAUAAGACUAUAUUGAUAUGUUAUCUCUAUACAAAUUAUUCUUACCACGUGAGAUUCAUUAUUGGUGCCAGUUUUGUAAUGGUGUCAUGGUUAAGGACUUAUGGUACCACGGUGAAACUGAGAGCCUCCUGUGAAUGUGCACCCAAGAUUUUGCUGCUUGGCGCAUGUCGGUAUCGAGGUCUCUAGUCAUGAUCCAUUAUGGAAUUACACUGAUGUGUUAUCUUCCAUUGACCUUUCCUUGAAACAAUUUCUAUGUUGUUUGUGAAAGAGAUCAAGCAACAUCUGUCAUUUCCGUUGGAUCAAAAGGGCAGACCACUUUCAUAUGUGGUCUUAUUUCUUUUGAUCUUGGUAGUGACUACUCAAGUUCCCUUUACAUCCUUUGUGUAAAGGUGAAUCCUUGGAGCUUUUUAGUGUAAGCAAACAACUGAUUAGCUCUCAAAAUAGAGAUCUGUUUCCCCUGCUGCUGAAAUGCAGGAGUUUGUUCAUUCACUCUCUUAUUUAAUCCAUGUAUUCCCUAACCAAGUGGAUAAUUCAUCUCGCUUGAAGAAACGGAUGAACAACCUGACCAAAUGGAUUUCUACCCAAAUGCAUGACCUUUUGCUUGCAAAUGUGAACUCUCAACCCCUUGGCUUACCAAUGGUACUGAGAGGAUUUGCUUAAUGUCAAAAGUAGUUCAACAAGUUGGUUUUGACUAACUUGUAACUGCCCGUUGAACGAAGGCUGAGUUUAAAGAUCGUUUAGUCGAGUUGUCUAAACUCACUUUGGUUCAACUCACCCUAAAGAAAGUGCUUAUCAAAAUCAAAUUAAGUCGACCAGUAACCACUUAAUUAUCGCUCUAGUCACGCCUCGACCGUCUCACACAUGCUUUUCCUGCAUGUGUGAUCAUGUCGAUUCAUGACUAGUGCUGGAUAAAAUGGACUGGUUGCAAAGUCCGCAUCUACAGAUCCCUCCGCUGGUGAUUUUUCUUGAAUCUAUAUCACCUUUCGUGGACUUGGAUUCCUUGGCUAACACGAGUUAACUGGGAUGUUAUUCGACAUUCACACCCAUCUCGUGUGCUAUGAACUUACUGUAACCACUUGUUGGUAAACCUCUUUCUGUGUGUUUUACCCAAGAUGGUGCAUCUGAUUCUGUUUGGGGAAAAAUCGCGUAUUUGCCACUUGCCCAACAGACUCAGAUAGUACAGUGUCAUCAGAAGAAGCAAAUUGCACACAUGGAACCUUAUGUGUUCUUCUGGUGGGCAAAGAUGAAAACUGAAAUUGCACGCUAUGUGGCUAGAUGUGACACUUGUAAACGUGUCAAGGCCAUAUACAUGAAGACUGCUGGUCCAUUACAAUCUUUGCCAAUCCCAACAUGGAAAUGGGAAGAUAUUAGUAUGGACUUCAUUGUGGGAUUACCCAGGACUACAAAAGGGUAUGAUUCUAUCUGGGUGAUUGUUGAUCGACUCACAAAGAUUGCCCACUUCUUACCUGUCAGGACAAAGUAUACAGUGGCCACUUAUGCAGCAUUGUACAUUGCUCGUAUUCUUAGUCUGCAUGGUGUUCCGAAGACUAUAGUGUCGGAUCGUGGACCUCAAUUCGUAUCCAAAUUCUAGGAAGAACUUCAUAAAUCCCUGGGUACUAAACUGCUCCACAGUUCGGCCUAUCAUCCUCAAACCAGUGGACAGACUGGGAGAGUAAAACAAAUACUUGAAGAUAUGCUGCGGGCAUGUAUUCUGGACUUCUCACAGAAAUGGGAUGAAUGUUUGCCCUUAGCGGAGUUUUCAUAUAAUAAUAGCUAUCAAGAAAGUAUCAAGAUGGCACCUUUCGAAGCUUUAUAUGGACGUCGAUGUCGUACUCCGCUAAAUUGGUCUGAACCUGGUGAAAGGUGUUUCUUUAGGCUUGAUAUGGUGAAAGAGGCCGAGGAUAAGGUUCAGAAAAUUAUUCAUAAUAUGAAUAAAGCACAAGCUCGUCAGAAGAGUUAUGCAGACAAACGGCGAAUGCCCUUAUAUUUCCUGGAAGGAGACUAUGUCUACCUGAAGGUCUCACCAAUGAAGGGAGUAUCACGUUUCGGGGUUAAAGGGAAGCUUGCACCACGAUAUAUUGGUCCUUUUCUUAUUUUGGAAAGAUAUGGGCCAGUGACAUACCGACUCCAACUACCCGAAACAUUGUAUGCUGUGCAUAAUGUGUUCCACGUGUCACAAUUGAAGAAGUGUCUUCGGGUUCCCAAUCGAACCGUUGAAGUAACAGAUGUUGUCCUUGAACCGGACUUGACAUACUCUGAGCACCCUAUUCGAGUCUUGGAUCAAAAGGACAGGGUUACCCGGAGAAAAACUCUCAAGUUUUAUAAGAUACAGUGGAACCAGCAUUCUGAAGAUGAGGCUACAUGGGAAACUCCAGACUUUUUAGAUAAGAAUUUCCCAGACUUUUUAGCCUCUUGUAAAUUAUAAAGCCUGUAUAACUGUGUAAUAAAGAAGUGACCCCCACAUCACCCCUGCCUUGUACCAGAAAUAAGGAAAUAAAAGUAUCCCGCGUUUCCUUUUCCAUUACUUACCCUAGGACUUUUAAUCUCGGGACGAGAUUCUUUUAUGGGGGGAAGGAUGUAACACCCCUGGUGUUACUAUAACUAAAACUUGAGCAUGGCAUCAUAAGCAUUGGCAUUGCAUAUGUUUGACACACCUAGAGUGCAUUCACUAGGUAAAAAUUUCAAACAAGUUGUAUUGUUCUAGUGUUUUUCAAACAGGACCCUGGAUAGGGAACUUAACCCUAAAUAGGGAUUAAAGGGGUAAAACCUAACCCAAGUUGAGAAAACCUAAAAGCUUUAGGGCAAAAGUCAUAAAAUAACCCCAAGAAUAAACUUGAAUCACCUUUAUACCCCUGGGAUACCAAAAACCCUAAUUGGAACCCUGGAAAACCCUAAAACCAAACCCUAGGGACCUAUGUGCAAAAUUAGUCCACUUUUGGACUAAAGUGCAAAAACCAAGUCAAAUAAGUUUCUUAAGUCCUUUGGUUCACAAAUGUGUGGACUUGAAAGCCAAACAUUGAGUUUUGGACUUAAAUGCAAAAUGGACCUCAAUUAGGUUCUAUUCUAAGUCUGAAAUUUCAGAGUUUUGGCUCAACUUUGGAGCCUUGUAACUUUCAAACUAUAGAAUUUUUGCCCUAAAUCACCACACCAAAGUUGUAGAGCAAUCAAAGGAGAACAAUUUUGCUGAAGAGAGCAAGCCAUGUUCUUGUGAGAAAUUUGGAGAUAAUCAUGCUCUAAACUUGACUGUCAGGCUGUUUAAGUUCUGAAUCUCAGACAAGCAGCGCAACUGCAGGCACUUUGGGCAUGAAUUAAUACAUGAUCGAGCAAGUAUUUGCCUAGGAUUGCUAUACCAAGAUUAUAGCUGGAUCCUAGGGCUACAACUUUGCUAAAGAGUGUCGAUCAUGUUGAUAUAUAAAAUCAAGAGAAAAUCUGCCCUAAAUCCUGGCUGUCAGAUGACUGAAGAACAAACGCCAUGGUACAGUGCAUUGGGGAAACAGAUAAGGGUCUGAUUGCCGCGGCAGAAAAUCUCACCGCCGACGACCUAUCCGUGCCGCGAUUUGCGCCGGGGUCGAGAUGAUCAGGCGGCGAGCAUCUCCCUGCGAAGACCUCUUUGCUCCGGAUAAGACCGCCGCGGUGGAGGGCACUAACUCUGGCUGCCACGCGGCCAUCCCUCCUUCCGGCCAUGUCCGGUCACCGGCACCGCCCUCCUCUGUUCGGCCACGCCAUCACGGAUUUGACUGCCUUACGGCCGUGGUUGAACGUGGCAAGCUCUAGGGGAGUGCCGUGCUCAGUGCCAUCGCUGAUCGCCAGCUAGGGCCAGCAAUGGUUAUCACCGUGAUCGCGGCAGUGAUUCACCGCGGCUAUAAAUUCACCCCGUCCUCGCCCCCUUUUCUCAAAUCAACCGAGCUCCGGCCUUCGUCUCCAAAUUGCGAAGCUGUAGCAACCAUUCCUAUCCCCGAUUAGUCACCCUGGCCGGAGAAUUGCCAUUUUCCCCCAAAUCAUUCCGCCGCGCCACCCAAAACAGCCCGCCCGUGGCCAGCUUACUCUGGUAAGUCACUGUACAAUCCAUGUGUUGUUCUAGUGCUUCUACAUGCUUGCGAAGCUCACAGUGGCGUCCGUUUGCUCUAUUCGACCAUGGUUUGGCGGGAACAUGUGCUCACAAACUCGGUGUCCGCCACGAUCGUGGGCAGACGGCUCCCAGGGGGGUUCCUGUCCAAUUAACGGUUGUUCAUAGAUCGUCUUAGGUCGGUAAAGCCUCCCCGAGGGUUAGCUUGAGCAAUCAUCGCUGGCUAUGGCCGGUAUGUACCACGGCAGGGAUGAACAAUAAGCGCGCCGCGGUUGGGGAGCUCCUUGGAGAAGAAAUAGAAGUACGAGGGUAUUUCUGCAAUGUGUCAGCGACUUAGUGCAAUAGUAAAUGAACCUGCUUCGGUUUAGCUGAAAAGACGAGGGCCUCUAUGCAAAGUAGCCAGAGCACGCAGGCGCGCGCCGGCGCGCGACCCUUUUCCUGCGUCGUUGGGCCGACCUGGGUCAGAAUCGGCCCAAGACUGUUACAAGUUUCUCUUUUUCUUUUUAUUCCUGAACUAAAACAAUUAUAGAAAAUGAUAGAAAAAUCCUAAAAUUGUGAAACUAAUUUUCCUAGACUCCUUAUUUUCCCUAGUAUUUAAUAAAAAUAGUUUCAUGAUUUUUAGUUUAAACAGGGAAUUUUAGGGCAUUUAAAAUAGCUUAAAGAAAUAGUUCUGGAAUUUUAGAGAAUUAAUAGUAAUGCCAAAAAUGUUCAAAAUUUUUGUAUGAACUCCCCAUAUUAUUUAGAAGCCUUGGGUAGAAUUUGAAUUGAUUUGGACCUUGUUUGAUAACUAGAACCCAAAACCCUACCCCUGCCCUUUGAACUCCUUUACUGACUCCGGAAACCCUAAGUUCUCGGAGUCCCGUGAAGGAAAGUUGUAUUCAAAACUUAGUUAAUAAACCUUUAUUAUCUAUGCACUCUCAUAAGCAUUACAUGGCAUUCAUUCUUAUAUAUAUACCUAUAUGGUUAUAUUUAGAAAACGAAGAAGAGAGUGAAGUGACUGAAGAGAAGACACCACCACCUUUGGAAUCUCAGGCAGGGACUUGGCUCUACUUCGACAUCUGCGGGUCCGAGCCUGACUCACCUACUAACGAAGGCAAGCCCCGGUGCAUGCAACCCCUUUACUUGUGAAAUGUGCAUUAGGUUCAUAGGAGUUGCUUGGAACCCUUUGAUGCAUUGCUUCCUUGAUAUCCAUACCGUUAUAGAUACUUCUGAUGAAGUAUCAAAAAUAUGAUUUACAAAAAUGCUUAGCCCUGCUUAGAUCUUGUGGAUAGAAGUUGUCUUUUGCAAUACUGCCUAGCUCAGGGGUUAUCCUGAGGAAAGAUGACUUCUACCUGCAAGAAUAUUUUCAUUAAGAGCGUGGUGGGAUCUUACUGCAAAGCUCCCUAUGAUGCUCUUUUCAUCCUAAGGAAUAGAAACAAUCCUAAGGAUGGAAGUACUUAAAUCGAGACUUGGGUUAGGAACAGGUGAUGUUCUACCCAGGUUGAUUAAGGAUUGGAUGCGUAUGUAGGCCUGCUAGCGCAAGGACUAUCUUAGCUAGCCGCAUACCCUGGAAAUGGGACAGGGUAAGCUUUGCCUCGGGCAGACUAAGGCCAGAAUAAGAUAACACGAAAUGGGCGUGGAGCGGUGGCGGGAGUAGCGUGUACCCUCCGUGGCAAGAGGCUGGACGGUGGUGUAUCUGUGCUCUCGGUUUGCGUGAACCUAAUCUGGUCUUAAGAACCCUGGGGUCGAGUUGACAUAUGCAAGGAUUAAGUGCUACAUAUGUCGUGUGGUUAGAGAUCCUCAGCUGAGUAAAUCGAUUCGGAUCGCCGUUAUAUCCCCGGAGAGUGGAGACUUGAUCACUGACCUACAACCUAAGUCAGGAUGUGAACUUCAUGAAUGAAAAUGAUGUUGUAUUGAUGAGAUGAUGAAAUUAGACUAGAGGCAAACAGAGUCUAUUGAUAUUUAAUUUGGCGUUAAAAUAUUGAAAGUAAGGAGUCACUCUAAUAAGCUAUUUCUGCAAAAGUAUCUAAGUUGAUUCUUGCUAAAGCCUCUCCUUGAUCCCUAUUUAUCCAGCAUCCCCUUGAGAGUCUUUUCCUUAGUCGGGUAAGACUUGCUGAGUAAUUCCAUACUCAGGGUUUAUCCCUUCGUUGUUUUUAGGUGAGGAAGCGACAAAGUUUUGUUGCUUUUGCUCCAAGGUGGUAUCAAAUGAAGAAGUAGAAGAAUGAAGAUGCGGGAGGACGUGGUCCUCCAUAUAGGACUUUUUGUUUGAUAGUUAUCGGGAGGAGUUUUUACCUCCCUUGGAAUGUGUAAUAAUACUACUCAGCACUCGUUUAUAGCUCUAGUCUGUAAUAAGUAACUUGAUCUUACUUUCUAAAUAAAUGUAAGUUUAUGUAAAAGCUUCCGCAUUUCUUUAUCUCCGAUGUUCUAUAAUGUCUGCAAGACGGGUGAGACGUUCCUGGAAAGGUAAGGAAAGAUACCGAACUUGUCAAGUAGUUCAGGGGCACCUACAGGGUUGUCUGAGGUCCGUUGGACAAGGACAACUGUAGGUGGGCCUAAUUACUUGGGAGGUUCCGUCACAAUUUAGGGUCUAGGUUUCCAUAAAAUCGUGUGCUAUAGCUCACGGGUGGCAAAAAAAUGCCAUAACGGCCUCCCCGGUCUAAAACGAAGGUGGCAGGUCGGAUACAUAAAAUUGGCUGUUUGGCCACGGAAAUGUGUGAUAUAGCUCGCGGGAGGCCAAGAACCGCUUUAAGGUGCUCCGGGGAGAAAAACACGUGUGGAGGAACACGGGCAUAAAAAUGGUCGCUCGGCCAUGAAAACGUGUGCUAUAGCUCACGGGAGGCCAAAACAACCUUACCAGUCUCUAUGGUCAAAUAAUGGGUGGCGGUCGGGAGGCACGAAAUCGCUGUUCGACGACAAAAACAUGUGUCACGGGAGGCCAAAAUAGCCUUACGGGCCGCCGGGGACUAAAACGUGUACUAUGGUUCGGACACUAAAAUUCUACCAUGCCUGCAAGCUUACUAUGGUUUGGAGACUCAAACUUCAUUUUACUAUGGUUUGGACACUAAAACCUUUUAGUGUCGGUGUUUAAGGUUAGGGUUUAGGGAUUGGAUCUUGGGUCUAGGUUACCAUAAAAACAUGUGCUAUAGCUCACUUGUGGCAAAAAAAUGUCGUAACGGCCUCUCCGAUCUAAAAUGUAGGUGGCAGAUCGGAUGAGGCCAUAAUCAGCCUUAGCAGUCUCAGUGGCCAAAUCAUGGGUGGCGGACGGGAGGCAUGAAAUCGUCGUUUGACGAUGAAAACAUGUGUCACUGCACGGGAGGCCAAAAAUAGCCUUACCGGCCUCCGGGGACCAAAACGUGUACUAUGGUUUGGACACUAAAAUUCUACUAUGUCAGCAAAGUUGAUAAGGUUGGGAGACUCAAUUUCAUUUUACCAUGGUUUCAACACUAAAAUCCUUUAGUGUUGAUGUUUAGGUUUAGGGAUAGGAUUUAGGGUCUAGGUUUCCAUAAAAUCGUGUGCUAUAGCUCAUGGGUGGCAAAAAAAUGCCAUAACGGCCUCCCCGGUCUAAAACGAAGGUGGCAGGUCGGAUACAUAAAAUUGGCUGUUUGGCCACGGAAAUGUGUGAUAUAGCUCGCGGGAGGCCAAGAACCGCUUUAAGGUGCUCCGGGGAGAAAAACACGUGUGGAGGAACACGAGCAUAAAAAUGGUCGCUCGGCCAUGAAAACGUGUGCUAUAGCUCACGGGAGGCCAAAACAACCUUACCAGUCUCUAUGGUCAAAUAAUGGGUGGCGGUCGGGAGGCACGAAAUCGCUGUUCGACGACAAAGACAUGUGUCACGGGAGGCCAAAAUAGCCUUACGGGCCGCCGGGGACUAAAACGUGUACUAUGGUUCGGACACUAAAAUUCUACCAUGCCUGCAAGCUUACUAUGGUUUGGAGACUCAAACUUCAUUUUACUAUGGUUUGGACACUAAAACCUUUUAGUGUCGGUGUUUAAGGUUAGGGUUUAGGGAUUGGAUCUUGGGUCUAGGUUACCAUAAAAACAUGUGCUAUAGCUCACUUGUGGCAAAAAAUGUCGUAACGACCUCUCCGAUCUAAAAUGUAGGUGGCAGGUCGGAUGAGGCCAUAAUCAGCCUUAGCAGUCUCAGUGGCCAAAUCAUGGGUGGCGGACGGGAGGCAUGAAAUCGUCGUUUGACGAUGAAAACAUGUGUCACGGGAGGCCAAAAAUAGCCUUACCGGCCUCCGGGGACCAAAACGUGUACUAUGGUUUGGACACUAAAAUUCUACUAUGUCAGCAAAGUUGAUAAGGUUGGGAGACUCAAAUUUCAUUUUACCAUGGUUUCAACACUAAAAUCCUUUAGUGUCGAUGUUUAGGUUUAGGGAUAGGAUUUAGGGUCUAGGUUUCCAUAAAAUCGUGUGCUAUAGCUCACGGGUGGCAAAAAAAUGCCAUAACGGCCUCCCCGGUCUAAAACGAAGGUGGCAGGUCGGAUACAUAAAAUUGGCUGUUUGGCCACGGAAAUGUGUGAUAUAGCUCGCGGGAGGCCAAGAACCGCUUUAAGGUGCUCCGGGGAGAAAAACACGUGUGGAGGAACACGGGCAUAAAAAUGGUCGCUCGGCCAUGAAAACGUGUGCUAUAGCUCACGGGAGGCCAAAACAACCUUACCAGUCUCUAUGGUCAAAUAAUGGGUGGCGGUCGGGAGGCACGAAAUCGCUGUUCGACGACAAAAACAUGUGUCACGGGAGGCCAAAAUAGCCUUACGGGCCGCCGGGGACUAAAACGUGUACUAUGGUUCGGACACUAAAAUUCUACCAUGCCUGCAAGCUUACUAUGGUUUGGAGACUCAAACUUCAUUUUACUAUGGUUUGGACACUAAAACCUUUUAGUGUCGGUGUUUAAGGUUAGGGUUUAGGGAUUGGAUCUUGGGUCUAGGUUACCAUAAAAACAUGUGCUAUAGCUCACUUGUGGCAAAAAAUGUCGUAACGGCCUCUCCGAUCUAAAAUGUAGGUGGCAGGUCGGAUGAGGCCAUAAUCAGCCUUAGCAGUCUCAGUGACCAAAUCAUGGGUGGUGGACGGGAGGCAUGAAAUCGUCGUUUGACGAUGAAAACAUGUGUCACGGGAGGCCAAAAAUAGCCUUACCGGCCUCCGGGGACCAAAACGUGUGCUAUGGUUUGGACACUAAAAUUCUACUAUGUCAGCAAAGUUGAUAAGGUUGGGAGACUCAAAUUUCAUUUUACCAUGGUUUCAACACUAAAAUCCUUUAGUGUUGAUGUUUAGGUUUAGGGAUAGGAUUUAGGGUCUAGGUUUCCAUAAAAUCGUGUGCUAUAGCUCACGGGUGGCAAAAAAAUGCCAUAACGGCCUCCCCGGUCCAAAACGAAGGUGGCAGGUCGGAUACAUAAAAUUGGCUGUUUGGCCACGGAAAUGUGUGAUAUAGCUCGCGGGAGGCCAAGAACCGCUUUAAGGUGCUCCGGGGAGAAAAACACGUGUGGAGGAACACGGGCAUAAAAAUGGUCGCUCGGCCAUGAAAACGUGUGCUAUAGCUCACGGGAGGCCAAAACAACCUUACCAGUCUCUAUGGUCAAAUAAUGGGUGGCAGUCGGGAGGCACGAAAUCGCUGUUCGACGACAAAGACAUGUGUCACGGGAGGCCAAAAUAGCCUUACGGGCCGCCGGGGACUAAAACGUGUACUAUGGUUCGGACACUAAAAUUCUACCAUGCCUGCAAGCUUACUAUGGUUUGGAGACUCAAACUUCAUUUAACUAUGGUUUGGACACUAAAACCUUUUAGUGUCGGUGUUUAAGGUUAGGGUUUAGGGAUUGGAUCUUGGGUCUAGGUUACCAUAAAAACAUGUGCUAUAGCUCACUUGUGGCAAAAAAUGUCGUAACGGCCUCUCCGAUCUAAAAUGUAGGUGGCAGGUCGGAUGAGGCCAUAAUCAGCCUUAGCAGUCUCAGUGGCCAAAUCAUGGGUGGCGGACGGGAGGCAAGAAAUCGUCGUUUGACGAUGAAAACAUGUGUCACGGGAGGCCAAAAAUAGCCUUACCGGCCUCUGGGGACCAAAACGUGUACUAUGGUUUGGACACUAAAAUUCUACUAUGUCAGCAAAGUUGAUAAGGUUGGGAGACUCAAAUUUCAUUUUACCAUGGUUUCAACACUAAAAUCCUUUAGUGUUGAUGUUUAGGUUUAGGGAUAGGAUUUAGGGUCUAGGUUUCCAUAAAAUCGUGUGCUAUAGCUCACGGGUGGCAAAAAAAUGCCAUAACGGCCUCCCCGGUCUAAAACGAAGGUGGCAGGUCGGAUACAUAAAAUUGGCUGUUUGGCCACGGAAAUGUGUGAUAUAGCUCGCGGGAGACCAAGAACCGCUUUAAGGUGCUCCGGGGAGAAAAACACGUGUGGAGGAACACGGGCAUAAAAAUGGUCGCUCGGCCAUGAAAACGUGUGCUAUAGCUCACGGGAGGCCAAAACAACCUUACCAGUCUCUAUGGUCAAAUAAUGGGUGGCGGUCGGGAGGCACGAAAUCGCUGUUCGAUGACAAAAACAUGUGUCACGGGAGGCCAAAAUAGCCUUACGGGCCGCCGGGAACUAAAACGUGUACUAUGGUUCGGACACUAAAAUUCUACCAUGCCUGCAAGCUUACUAUGGUUUGGAGACUCAAACUUCAUUUUACUAUGGUUUGGACACUAAAACCUUUUAGUGUCGGUGUUUAAGGUUAGGGUUUAGGGAUUGGAUCUUGGGUCUAGGUUACAAUAAAAACAUGUGCUAUAGCUCACUUGUGGCAAAAAAUGUCGUAACGGCCUCUCCGAUCUAAAAUGUAGGUGGCAGGUCGGAUGAGGCCAUAAUCAGCCUUAGCAGUCUCAGUGGCCAAAUCAUGGGUGGUGGACGGGAGGCAUGAAAUCGUCGUUUGACGAUGAAAACAUGUGUCACGGGAGGCCAAAAAUAGCCUUACCGGCCUCCGGGGACCAAAACGUGUGCUAUGGUUUGGACACUAAAAUUCUACUAUGUCAGCAAAGUUGAUAAGGUUGGGAGACUCAAAUUUCAUUUUACCAUGGUUUCAACACUAAAAUCCUUUAGUGUCGAUGUUUAGGUUUAGGGAUAGGAUUUAGGGUCUAGGUUUCCAUAAAAUCGUGUGCUAUAGCUCACGGGUGGCAAAAAAAUGCCAUAACGGCCUCCCCGGUCUAAAACGAAGGAGGCAGGUCGGAUACAUAAAAUUGGCUGUUUGGCCACGGAAAUGUUUGAUCUAGCUCGCGGGAGGCCAAGAACCGCUUUAAGGUGCUCCGAGGACAAAAACACGUGUGGAGGAACGCGGACAUAAAAAUGGUCGCUCGGCCAUGAAAACGUGUGCUAUAGCUCACGGGAGGCCAAAACAGCCUUACCAGUCUCUAUGGUCAAAUCAUGGGUGGCGGUCGGGAGGCACGAAAUCGCUGUUCGACGACAAAAACUUGUGUCACGGGAGGCCAAAAUAGCCUUACGAGCUGUCGGGGACUAAAACGUGUACUAUGGUUUGGACACUAAAAUUCUACCAUUCCUGCAUGCUUACUAUGGUUUGGAGACUCAAACUUCAUUUUACUAUGGUUUGGACACUAAAACCUUUUAGUGUCGGUGUUUAAGGUUAGGGUUUAGGGAUUGGAUUUGGGGUCUAGGUUACCAUAAAAACAUGUGCUAUAGCUCACUUGUGGCAAAAAAUGUCGUAACGGCCUCUCCGGUCUAAAACGUAGGUGGUAGGUCGGAUACAUGAAAUUGGCUCUUUGGCCACGAAAACGUGUGCUACAGCUCGUGGGAGGCCAAGGACCACUUUAAGGUGCUCUGGGAACCAAAAAACGGGUGGUGGAACACGUACUUAAAAAUGGUCGCUCGACCAUGAAAACGUGUGCCAUAACCUACGAGAGGCCAUAAACAGCCUUAGCAGUCUCAGUGGCCAAAUCAUGGGUGGCGGACGGGAGGCAUGAAAUCGUCGUUUGACGAUGAAAACAUGUGUCACGGGAGGCCAAAAAUAGCCUUACCGGCCUCCGGGGACCAAAACGUGUACUAUGGUUUGGACACUAAAAUCGUACUAUGUCAGCAAAGUUGAUAAGGUUGGGAGACUCAAAUUUCAUUUUACCAUGGUUUCAACACUAAAAUCCUUUAGUGUCGAUGUUUAGGUUUAGGGAUAGGAUUUAGGGUCUAGGUUUCCAUAAAAUCGUGUGCUAUAGCUCACGGGUGGCAAAAAAAUGCCAUAACGGCCCCGGUCUAAAACGAAGGUGGCAGGUCGGAUACAUAAAAUUGGCUGUUUGGCCACGGAAAUGUGUGAUAUAGCUCGCGGGAGGCCAAGAACCGCUUUAAGGUGCUCCGGGGAGAAAAACACGUGUGGAGGAACACGGGCAUAAAAAUGGUCGCUCGGCCAUGAAAACGUGUGCUAUAGCUCACGGGAGGCCAAAACAACCUUACCAGUCUCUAUGGUCAAAUAAUGGGUGGCGGUCGGGAGGCACGAAAUCGCUGUUCGACGACAAAAACAUGUGUCACGGGAGGCCAAAAUAGCCUUACGGGCCGCCGGGGACUAAAACGUGUACUAUGGUUCGGACACUAAAAUUCUACCAUGCCUGCAAGCUUACUAUGGUUUGGAGACUCAAACUUCAUUUUACUAUGGUUUGGACACUAAAACCUUUUAGUGUCGGUGUUUAAGGUUAGGGUUUAGGGAUUGGAUCUUGGGUCUAGGUUACCAUAAAAACAUGUGCUAUAGCUCACUUGUGGCAAAAAAUGUCGUAACGGCCUCUCCGAUCUAAAACGUAGGUGGCAGGUCGGAUACAUGAAAUUGGCUCUUUGGCCACGGAAACGUGUGCUACAGCUCGUGGGAGGCCAAGGACCACUUUAAGGUGCUCUGGGGACCAAAAAGCGGGUGGUGGAACACGUACUUAAAAUGGUCGCUCGACCAUGAAAACGUGUGCCAUAGCCUACGGGAGGCCAUAAACAGCCUUAGCAGUCUCAGUGGCCAAAUCAUGGGUGGCGGACGGGAGGUGUUGGGUCUAUGCUUCGUCGCCGAAGGUCUUAUAGAAAGAAGUGAUCCUCGGAUGAAGC
This 37212-nucleotide long non-coding RNA is filed under the name Zea mays. Its description in RNAcentral is "long non-coding RNA (ZMAY_LNC000643)". Lineage: Eukaryota; Viridiplantae; Streptophyta; Magnoliopsida; Poales; Poaceae. The record is from RNAcentral.